CCCUUAGAUGUUCGGGGCCGCACGCGCGCUACACUGAAGGAAUCAGCACGUCUUUCUCCUUGUCCGAAAGGACUGGGUAACCCGCUGAACCUCCUUCGUGCUAGGGAUUGGGGCUUGUAAUUCUUCCCCAUGAACGAGGAAUUCCCAGUAAGCGCGAGUCAUAAGCUCGCGUUGAUUACGUCCCUGCCCUUUGUACACACCGCCCGUCGCUACUACCGAUUGGAUGGUUUAGUGAGAUCCUCGGAUUGGUCCCGGAGCGGCCUCUGGUCGUGACGGAGUGCCGAAAAGAAUGUCGAACUUGAUCAUCUAGAGGAAGUAAAAGUCGUAACA
Molecule: ribosomal RNA, 330 nt
Filed under: uncultured eukaryote
Lineage: Eukaryota
Description: partial 18S ribosomal RNA
Rfam family: Eukaryotic small subunit ribosomal RNA
Source: RNAcentral